RNAcentral lists this long non-coding RNA (385 nucleotides) under Mytilus galloprovincialis (Mediterranean mussel). The record is from RNAcentral. Lineage: Eukaryota; Metazoa; Mollusca; Bivalvia; Mytilida; Mytilidae.
GUUUUUUGUUUUGUUCUUGUUUUUACAUACUCUAGGCUAUUGUUUCACAUUUUGUCACAUCGGGACAUUUUAUAAAUUGUUACGUAUAUACAUUUCGCAUGUGUUGGUUUAUUGUCGAAGGUCGUACGUCGAGUUUUUCGAUUGAAUCGAUGGGUGCAUGGAUAGUUACAAUACAUGUGUCGGAUCGGCAAUUAUAGAACAUUUUCUGUUAUAUCCGUAUUUUGCGUGGAAUUCUCGCCGCGUUGAAGACCCAAUUGCCUUCGUCUAUCGUCUGCUUGUUUUCGAGUCGUUGUCUCUUUUACUUAUUCUCAAUAGCUGCAAAUGUUAAAUAACACCAAGAUUAAAAGCACCAACAGCUAGUGUAUAGUUCGGUUGGUAUAGGCGG